This 1039-nucleotide long non-coding RNA is filed under the name Salmo salar (Atlantic salmon). Its description in RNAcentral is "lncRNA (ENSSSAG00000121698.1)". Lineage: Eukaryota; Metazoa; Chordata; Actinopteri; Salmoniformes; Salmonidae. The record is from RNAcentral.
CAUCACUUCAUUUUUUUGCGCCUGCGCAUAAAUCUGAGAAACGUGAGUUUGUCAUCAUUUUUUAUCUAGACAUAGGAUAGGUUGUGUGAAAAUAUUACUGAUGUUUAACGUUAAAAAUGGACCAAAAGAUUAAUGCUAAACAACAUUUGACAUGUUUGAACGAACAUAAAUAGAUUAUUUACUAGGUUUUUUUAGCUUUUCGGCGUGAUUUUACCAGCCCCCCAACCACGUUUUGUGGGAGCAUAAUGAACGCUAAGUACUUGGUGUUAUUUGGACAUAAAUUAUGAACUUUGUCAAAAGAAACCACAUUUGUUCCGGACCUGGAAUGCCUUCCGGACCUGGGAUCCUGCCUUCUGAUGGAGAUAAUCAAAGAGGUGAUGACUACUCCACUCCACAACCAUUGUCAACUUUCUCCUGACAUGACCUGGAGCUACCCGCUCAUCCCCUGGCACAUUGAUUGUUUCCCUCCAAGCACUUCAAAUCCUGUCCUGCACUGGUCAAGCCUAUGAACACCUCAACUCAUACUUCAAACCCUCAUUCAAUCACUGCUGUGAUCCUUUUCCAACACGGUAUCCCUCAGAUCAGCAGUUUGUGCUCCAAGUAAGAGCAAGUUUUUAGGAGAACAGCUCGUCAGCCCAGGAAAUGGUUCAGAUUAAAGGGAGGUAAUGACACAUUUUCUAGGCCUGUUUGUGUGAGCGGCGCAUGCAAUUUAAGGGGCUGCCAUACAAGGUCAGUUAAUAUUUCAUUGCGAGGCACUCAGGGAAUGGGGAACAGAGAGACAAAAUGCAUAUGUCUCAUUUCGCAAUCUGAUUCGUCUCUACAAAUCAGCCCGAGUCAAUGUCAUUCCAUUAUGAACUCUGCUGCAGAAUUCUGCUGCUGCGACACUGCCUGCCUGGAUGUGACUGCUUUUACUGGAGCUGAAUGUGGAAUCUCUCGAUCUCCCACUCUCUCUGUCAGGUUGCCGCAUCCUCCUCCUCCAUCUCCAUCUCCUUCUCCACUUUUACCACCUCCACACCUGUUCCUUCUCCCCUUGUUACAC